RNAcentral lists this ribosomal RNA (486 nucleotides) under Triticum aestivum (bread wheat). RNAcentral's name for it is "partial small subunit ribosomal RNA". Lineage: Eukaryota; Viridiplantae; Streptophyta; Magnoliopsida; Poales; Poaceae. The record is from RNAcentral.
AUGCUGCCGUCUGGUGUCAAGUUCGAUCCCACGGAUCAGGAGCUGAUCGAGCACCUUGAGGCCAAAGUGAGUGCUGACAGCGCGAGAUUUCAGUCUCUCAUCGAUUUGUUCAUACCAACCAUCGACAGCGAGCACGGCAUAUGCUACACCCAACCUGAGAAACUUCCAGGUAUCACACUGAGUGGCCUAAGGAAGCAUUUCUUCCAGCACAAUUCCAGGGCGUUCAAAAGGGGCACGUGGACGCGUCGCAAGAUACAGUCGGAGUGCGGCAUGCAUGCGAUGUGGCACAAGACCGGCAAUACCUUGCCGGUGAUGGUCAACGGCCGGCAGACGGGCAACAAAAAAGGUUCUGGUGCUGCACACCAACAAGAACUUCGACCAGCAGAGGACCAACUGGGUGAUGCACGAGUACCACCUCGGGGACCUAGAGCAAGAGAAGGAGCGGGAGCUGGUCCUCUGCAAGAUUUUCUACCAGACGAACACUAG